RNAcentral lists this ribosomal RNA (1552 nucleotides) under metagenome. RNAcentral describes it as "bacterial SSU rRNA". It matches the Rfam family "Bacterial small subunit ribosomal RNA". The record is from RNAcentral.
AGGGUUUGAUCCUGGCUCAGAGUGAACGCUGGCGGCGUGGAUAAGGCAUGCAAGUCGAGCGAUUUUCUUCGACAAGGUUUUGACAAGCUUGCUUGUUGGAGCCUUGAUGAAGAGUAAUAGCGGCAAACGGGUGAGUAACGCGUGGGUAACCUACCUUGAGGAGAAGGACAGUCCGUUGAAAGACGGAGUAAUACUUCAUGUUACCAUAGACCUUCUGGUUUAUGGUCAAAGACGGCCUAUGGCUUGCUAUGCUGUCACCUUAAGAGGGGCCCGCGUCCUAUCAGGUUGUUGGUAGGGUAACGGCCUACCAAGCCUAAGACGGGUAACUGGCAUUAGUGUGUGGUCAGUCACACCGGGACUGAGACACUGCCCGGACUCCUACGGGAGGCUGCAGUCGAGAAUCUUUCCCAAUGGACGAAAGUCUGAGGAUGCGACGCCGCGUGGGGGAUGAAGCGUUUCGGCGUGUAAACUCCUUUUGUAAGGGAGGAAAGGUCUGAUGGUUAAGAGCUGGCAGAUUUUGACUGUACCUUACGAAUAAGCCACGGCUAACUCCGUGCCAGCAGCCGCGGUAAUACGGAGGUGGCAAGCGUUACUCGGUUUGAUUGGGUGUAAAGGGUCCGCAGGCGGCCUUAUAAGUGAAAGGUGAAAUCCACUAGCUUAACUAGUGAACUGCCUUUCAAACUGUCUGGCUUGAGGUUGGAAGAGGAGAGCGGAACUGCCAGUGUAAGGGUGAAAUCUGUGGAUAUUGGCAGGAACGUCCGUGACGAAGGUGGCUCUCUGGCCCAUACCUGACGCUCAGGGACGAAAGCUAGGGGAGCAAACAGGAUUAGAUACCCUGGUAGUCCUAGCUGUAAACGAUGGGCACUAGGUGUUUCCGUCUUAGACGGGGGUGCCGCAGCUAACGCAUUAAGUGCCCCACCUGGGGACUACGGCCGCAAGGCUAAAACUCAAAGGAAUUGACGGGGGCCCGCACAAGCGGUGGAACACGUGGUUUAAUUCGAUGCUACGCGAGGAACCUUACCAGGGCUUGACAUGCUAGAAGUAACCGCCCGAAAGGGUGGGUGACCUGUAACCAAUCAGGAACUAGCACAGGUGCUGCAUGGCUGUCGUCAGCUCGUGCCGUGAGGUGUUCCCUUAAGUGGGAAAACGAGCGCAACCCUCGCUCUUAGUUGCCAUCGCUCCGGCUUUUGUCGGAGGCUGGGCACUCUAAGGGGACUGCCUACGUUAAGUAGGAGGAAGGCGGGGACGACGUCAAGUCCGCAUGGCCCUUAUGUCCUGGGCUACACACGUGUUACAAUGGCGCGUACAACGGGAGGCUAAGCCGCGAGGUGGAGCAAAUCCUAUAAAGCGCGCCUCAGUUCGGAUUGAAGGCUGCAACUCGCCUUCAUGAAGCUGGAAUCGCUAGUAAUGGCGCAUCAGCUACGGCGCCGUGAAUACGUUCCCGGGCCUUGUACACACCGCCCGUCAAGCGCUGAAAAUGGGAGGCGCCCGAAGCCCCGUUUAUUCGAGGUCACGGUGAAGUUCAUGAUUGGCGCUAAGUCGGAACAAGGUA